UGAGCAAUCUGCCCUUCACAUCGGAAUAAGCGUUGGAAACGACGUCUAAUGCCGAAUACGACCUCCUUUCGCAUGAUCGGAGGUGGAAAGCUCCGGCGGAGAAGGAUGAGCUCGCGGCCUAUCAGCUAGUUGGUGUGGGUAAUGGCCCACCAAGGCGACGGACGGGUAGCCGGCCUGGAGAGGGUGACCCGGCCACACGUGGGACUGAGACCACCGGCCCAGACCUCCGUACGGGAGCAG
RNAcentral lists this ribosomal RNA (240 nucleotides) under uncultured bacterium. Its description in RNAcentral is "partial 16S ribosomal RNA". It matches the Rfam family "Bacterial small subunit ribosomal RNA", at positions 118 to 347 of the family's 1533-position model. The record is from RNAcentral.